GAGAGGCUAUAUGGGAUGCUGUCUCUGAGGGCUGGCCCUGGGACCACACUGCCUGAGUUUGAAUCUGGCUCCACCAUUUAUUAGUGUGUGAUUUGGGGUCACGAGUGCUUACUCACGGUGGAGGACUUGAGAGCUGGGAGGCCAGCGGGCUGGAGCUCAGUGAAGCCACAGAGCCGAGUUGCGGAUCACCAGACAUGGCAAGGAGGACCAGGGCAUCCAGGAGGACCACUGCUGGGGCUUUGCUGCGUCCUGGCAGGGGUCAUCCUUGGGGAAGUUCAGUCUGCUCAAUUCCGGGAGUUUGGGAAUGGCUUGGAGAAGACUUUGGCAUGAAAAGAGCUUUUCCUCUUAGAAAAGUUGAACCAAGUUGGUUAAUAAAGUUACCCAAUGUCGUUCCGAUCAAAAGGGUCCAAAUUAUGCCUCAGUCCUGCGGCCAUAGCUGCACUGAGGGGUGGCGUGAAACUGCUUGUGGGAGGCACGUAGAUAGGAAUCAUUACCGUUUAUUGACUGCUUGCUGAGAGCCAGGCUCUCUGCAGAACCUUUACUUCAGGAUCUUAUUUAUUAAGACGCACAAUGUUCUCCAGAGGAGACAGGUCUCUUCCUGUUUGGGAACAAUCAGGAGAGAGAAAAAUUCAACCCAGGGCAGGUCUCAGUGCCAAGAGGAGCUGUCCUAGUGAGAUGACCUCCUCUUCCACAGUGCAGGUCCCCCGGACAGGAAAGACCCUGCCCUCUCAGGCACCCCACGUCUUGGUCUCCUCCACCCACCCAGUGCCAGGGAAGCCAGUCCGUCUCCAACCCAGGCUGCCCUUGCUUUAGGAGGGAUGGCUUGCUGAGCACUGCGCUAUGAGCUUAUUGUUACAUUAACUCAUUCAUCCUCACCAUAAUCCUAUGAGGGAGGAUAGUAUUUUUGUCCCUAUUUUACAGAUGAGGACAAUGAGGCACGGAGGGGAUGAAGAAUUGCCCAGGAUCCCACAACUAGAGGCUGACAGAGACGAGUUCUACCCGUGUUCAGUCUUCGUCUCCCUGCUACAGUAUCCUGCCAAGGUUCCAACUCAAUUUACACGAUUCCACCCUUUGGCUUCACAGCUGGGUGACUGGACUCAGGCGGGGUUAAGAGGGUCUGAAGAAUUGUGGGAAGGUGUCUUAUCCUGCAAAAUUGAUCAAUAAACAGGCAAAAAGCAAUCAGGA
Molecule: long non-coding RNA, 1185 nt
Filed under: Equus caballus (horse)
Lineage: Eukaryota; Metazoa; Chordata; Mammalia; Perissodactyla; Equidae
Description: lncRNA (ENSECAG00000050976.1)
Source: RNAcentral